Molecule: microRNA, 22 nt
Filed under: Melibe leonina
Lineage: Eukaryota; Metazoa; Mollusca; Gastropoda; Nudibranchia; Dendronotidae
Description: mle-let-7-3p
Gene: mle-let-7-3p
Source: miRBase by way of RNAcentral
CAGAGUGAGCCGCUAGCUUUCC